GACUGAGUGGCGGACGGGUGAGUAACGCGUGGGUAACCCUGCCUUGGUACAGGGGGAUAACAGUUGGAAACGACUGCUAAUACCGCAUAAGCGCACGGUAUUGCAUGAUACAGUGUGAAAAACUCCGGUGGUAUAAGAUGGACCCGCGUCUGAUUAGCUAGUUGGUGAGGUAACGGCCCACCAAGGCGACGAUCAGUAGCCGGUCUGAGAGGAUGAACGGCCACACUGGAACUGAGACACGGUCCAGACUCCUACGGGAGGCAGCAGUGGGGGAAUCUUCCGCAAUGGGCGAAAGCCUGACGGAGCAACGCCGCGUGAGUGAUGACGGCCUUCGGGUUGUAAAACUCUGUGAUCCGGGACGAAAAGGCAGAGUGCGAAGAACAAACUGCAUUGACGGUACCGGAAAAGCAAGCCACGGCUAACUACGUG
RNAcentral lists this ribosomal RNA (429 nucleotides) under uncultured bacterium. RNAcentral's name for it is "bacterial SSU rRNA". It matches the Rfam family "Bacterial small subunit ribosomal RNA", at positions 89 to 507 of the family's 1533-position model. The record is from RNAcentral.